Molecule: long non-coding RNA, 1865 nt
Filed under: Homo sapiens (human)
Lineage: Eukaryota; Metazoa; Chordata; Mammalia; Primates; Hominidae
Description: HSALNT0112791
Source: RNAcentral
CGCUAAAUGAAAAAUGUCAAAGGAAAGGACAGUGAGUUUAGUAUAAUAUGUUCAAAAUAAGAGAGGAAGGAAGGAAGGAAGGAAGGGAGAGAGGAAGGAAGGAAUAAACAGAGGAAAAGAAGGAAGGAGGGGAAAGAAAAAAGGAAAUCAAUCAAAGGAAGGAGGAAGGAAUGAAUGGAGAGAAAAAGGAAGAAGGGAAGGAAGGGGGAGAAAAUGAAGGGAUAAAAGAAUAACAUUUCCUUGAAUAUUCAGAAAAUAUCUCUGGAGGACUUGUCUCUUGGGACAGCAACUGUCAGCUGGGGUCAUGUACUUUGUACCUUUUAAAUAUUUUGAAAUGUUUUGUACAUUAAAACAAUGUUAAGCCAAGUGAAUAGAUUACUUGUUUUAAUGUAAAUGUGAGAAAGUUGCCCUACUUCCCUGUUUCCCAUUAAGGAUCUGGGAGUGGGCUGUGGCGUUUAAUCUAAUGCAGAAUAAAGCACGAAUAUGAAAAUGGCUAUUUUUUUCUUUCAUCUUGAUAAUUAGACUUUUUUUUUUUUUUUUUUUGACAAGGUCUCACUGUAUUGCUUAGGCUGAAUUCUCUCCCCUCAGCGUCCCCAGUAACUGGGAGUAGCGGCAUAUGCCAUCACACUGGCUUAUGCUGCCAUUUGUCGUGCAGCGGAAUGGGUGGGGUGGGGGGUAUGGGCAUUUGAAAAUGUGUUUAAAGAAGCAGCUUCAAAUGUCCUUCCCUUUGGGUGGUAAAUAGUACGGGCAGUCAAUCAGAAAAGAUACUAAUAAGCUGAAGAAGUGACAAUACUACGAAGAAGUAAACAGCAAAUUAGUGGUUUAAAAAUUCUUAUAAGAGGUAAUCACAUAAAACUGUUGAAGCUUAGGCAGUCUGAAAAUAAGGCACAUAUCUGCAUCUAUGUGCAACUGAGUAUAAAUUGAAUCGACUUCUCCUGUAGUUCUUUUUUAAUAUGUCUAUGAUGCCAUGCAGCACCGUGCUAUCUUUAUCUAUCUACACAUUCUUCUGCAGUGUGAAUCCCUGGAAGGCAAGAUCGCCAUUCUGGUCUCUUGUGGAUAUCAAUGCUGAUCUCAGCUUCUGAUGCACGGCAGUCAAUUAAUAAAUGAUUGUUGCCUGAAAAACUGAGCCCCAAAACAAUAUUACAAGUUUAAUAUCAGUAAAGGAUUUAAUGCUUUCUAACAUGAAGAUACCAGAUCUUUUCUAUUCCUGGACUUUUAGAGUUGCUGAUUUUUGUAUAACCCAGAGAUGGAUUUAAAUGCAGAGUGUAUGAACUUCUUCAUUCCUGAGGGAGGACUUAUGAUUUCAUGAGAAAUGCCCUAGGAAAGGGGCCGGGGAGACUGAUGGAGAAGAAGAGUUUGGGAGGGAAGCCCCAAGGACCAUCUGCCCCAUCAGAGUCACAUGCAGAGGGUCCUGCUCCUGCCGUUGGAAGUUGGCUUCCUGAGCUGCUGAACGUGCCAGUCCUGCUGACCCACUCUCAGAUAUCACAGGCACCCGCUGUGUCUGACAGAGACCUUUCUGCAAGUACACGUGCAGGUCUGCUCUGCAAAGGCGUUAUCAUCUGCAGAUUAUUGCACAGAGUGGCUACGAGCUGUGGUGUGAUCCUGUCACAGAGAGAGCCUGGUCACGUUUUCAGAACAGCAGGAAACAGGUACACCUGUAAGCUUAUACUUAUCAGAUUUAAAAAUAAAACAAAAAAUCCAUGCUAUUCCAUGAAAAUCGGACUCAAAUAAACUUAGUCACUGAUCUGUGAAGUAAAUAAUCUGAUGGUAAUGCAUCAGUUGACACUUGGGCCUGGGUUUUUAGGCACUAAUGAAAGCCAGGGGCAAAAUAAUUUUUAAUCUACCAUUAUUUCCCUUGAUGGUUC